RNAcentral lists this non-coding RNA (21 nucleotides) under Rattus norvegicus (Norway rat). Lineage: Eukaryota; Metazoa; Chordata; Mammalia; Rodentia; Muridae. The record is from RNAcentral.
UCACUGUCUCGCCAUUACACC